RNAcentral lists this ribosomal RNA (586 nucleotides) under uncultured bacterium. Its description in RNAcentral is "partial 16S ribosomal RNA". It matches the Rfam family "Bacterial small subunit ribosomal RNA", at positions 355 to 1375 of the family's 1533-position model. The record is from RNAcentral.
UGGGGAAUUUUGGACAAUGGGCGAAAGCCUGAUCCAGCAAUGCCGCGUGUGUGAAGAAGGCCUUCGGGUUGUAAAGCACUUUUGUCCGGAAAGAAAUCCUUGGCUCUAAUACAGUCGGGGGAUGACGGUACCGGAAGAAUAAGCACCGGCUAACUACGUGCCAGCAGCCGCGGUAAUACGUAGGGUGCAAGCGUUAAUCGGAAUUACUGGGCGUAAAGCGUGCGCAGGCGGUUUGCUAAGACCGAUGUGAAAUCCCCGGGCUCAACCUGGGAACUGCAUUGGUGACUGGCAGGCUAGAGUAUGGCAGAGGGGGGUAGAAUUCCACGUGUAGCAGUGAAAUGCGUAGAGAUGUGGAGGAAUACCGAUGGCGAAGGCAGCCCCCUGGGCCAAUACUGACGCUCAUGCACGAAAGCGUGGGGAGCAAACAGGAUUAGAUACCCUGGUAGUCCCACGCCCUAAACGAUGUCAACUAGUUGUUGGGGAUUCAUUUCCUUAGUAACGUAGCUAACGCGUGAAGUUGACCGCCUGGGGAGUACGGUCGCAAGAUUAAAACUUAAAGGAAUUGACGGGGUCAUAGCUGUUUCCU